UGGAUUGAUGAUGAUCAAUGCCAACGUAUGAGUCCCUGAUUAUGAAUAAUAAGUGUCUGGAACUCUGAGGUCCAA
This 75-nucleotide small nucleolar RNA is filed under the name Phocoena sinus (vaquita). Its description in RNAcentral is "Small nucleolar RNA SNORD113/SNORD114 family (ENSPSNG00000000348.1)". It matches the Rfam family "Small nucleolar RNA SNORD113/SNORD114 family". Rfam says of the family: The imprinted human domain at 14q32 contains two clusters of tandemly repeated small nucleolar RNAs named 14q(I) and 14q(II) snoRNAs. RNAcentral also lists the same sequence under 1 other name. Lineage: Eukaryota; Metazoa; Chordata; Mammalia; Artiodactyla; Phocoenidae. The record is from Rfam by way of RNAcentral.